AGACUGGUCCAAAAUGAGAUUCAAAAGUUCAAGCAGAAGUCAGAAGACUAUGGCGUGAUCAGGUCUCCUAAACCUAUAAGAAAAUCAAAGUCACAAAGAGAACUCAGGAGACAAAGGCUUGAUCAACUCUCCUAGACCGGUAAGAAAAUCGGCAAGGCUGAGCGGGAAGUUCACACCGGUUCAGGGAGGGAAGUCGAGAAGAUAAUCAUCAGGGAACAGAGCGAUUCCAACGUUUUUUGUAAUCAAGAAGAAGAGGAAAGUUCCAAGCUUGGUUAAAAUUUUUAGCAGGAAAAGGCGCUUCUCCGCAUGAAUCACUUUAAAAGAAAAAAAAAGAGGAUUUUCGUCGCUAUGUGGGGUUUAACAAAGAGGACGAGAGGUGGUGAUACAGUCAUUAUAAAAGUUUAUCUGCACUAUUUAUAUGUGAUCAAGGGGAUGGGGAAAAACAUAGGCAGCGAGCAAGCAUGUUAUUUUUUUACCAGAUGGGUAUGACUUCUGAGAAUAUAUACACACUAACUAAGAUUGUGCACUGAAGAAUCGAGAGGACAAGCAGAUGGUGGUGAGUGAGAAAUCAUCACUCAUCAGAAUAAACCAAAAUAAAAGGAAUCAAGCAUCAAUAAGGUAAUGUAUGGUGAUCAACAGUAGAGAUGGAUAAUGAAAAGAGUCGAUCCCAAUCGCCAAGAGAUGAUAAGGAGUGUUGGUAACACAUUUCGAAGAGAUUGACAAUACAAAAGAAAGUUCGCAGAGAUGUAAGAAGAUAGUAAGUGAGUUUACGCUGAAAGAUAUGUAAUUCAAAGAUAUUUUCUGAAAGCUCAGAGAGAUUUAACAAUUUAUUAUGCAUAUCACAAUCAUGAUCUAACAAGUGUAACAAUUAUAAUUCAA
Camelina sativa (false flax) is the source of this 879-nucleotide non-coding RNA. The record is from RefSeq and is a predicted model, not a curated record. NCBI's taxonomy places the organism in Eukaryota, Viridiplantae, Streptophyta, Magnoliopsida, Brassicales, Brassicaceae.